CAAGACGUAGCUAUAACACAAAGCAUUCAGCUUACACCUGAAAGAUGCCUGUCGCCCAGGCCGCCUUGA
This 69-nucleotide transfer RNA is filed under the name Zapornia atra (Henderson crake). RNAcentral describes it as "tRNA-Val". Lineage: Eukaryota; Metazoa; Chordata; Aves; Gruiformes; Rallidae. The record is from RNAcentral.